Non-coding RNA from Pelobates cultripes (western spadefoot toad), 444 nucleotides. The record is from the annotation of a GenBank genome assembly. NCBI's taxonomy places the organism in Eukaryota, Metazoa, Chordata, Amphibia, Anura, Pelobatidae.
AGGAGGCGUUAUAGGGAGAGGUUAUAUGGAGUAAUAGAAGGAGUUAUAGAGAGAGGUUAUAUGGAGUAAUAGGAGGAGUUAUAGAGAGAGGUUAUAUGGAGUAAUAGGAGGAGUUAUAGGGAGAGGUUAUAGGGAGUAAUAGGAGGAGUUAUAGAGAGGUUAUAUGGAGUAAUAGGAGGAGUUAUAGAGAGAGGUUAUAUGGUGUAAUAGGAGGAGUUAUAGAGAGAGGUUAUAUGGAGUAAUAGGAGGAGUUAUAGCGAGAGGCUAUAUGGAGUAAUAGGAAGAGUUAUAGGGAGAGGUUAUAUGGAGUAAUAGGAGGCGUUAUAGGGAGAGGUUAUAUGGAGUAAUAGGAGGAGUUAUAGAGAGGUUAUAUGGAGUAAUAGGAGGAGUUAUAGGGAGAGGAUAUAUGGACUAAUAGGAGGGGUUAUAGGGAGAGGAUAUAUG